RNAcentral lists this ribosomal RNA (482 nucleotides) under uncultured bacterium. RNAcentral's name for it is "partial 16S ribosomal RNA". It matches the Rfam family "Bacterial small subunit ribosomal RNA", at positions 29 to 507 of the family's 1533-position model. The record is from RNAcentral.
AUUGAACGCUGGCGGCAUGCCUUACACAUGCAAGUCGAACGGUAACAGGUCUUCGGAUGCUGACGAGCGGCGAACGGGCGGGUAAUACAUACGUACGUGCCCGAUCGUGGGGGAUAACGGAGCGAAAGCUAUGCUAAUACAGCAUACGAUCUACGGACGAAAGCAAGGGACCGCACUGCCUUGCUCGGGCGGUGCGGCUGAUGGCGGGUUAGGUAGCUGGUGGGAUAAAAGCAUACCAAGCCGACGAUCUGUAGCUGGUCUGAGAGGACGACCAGCCACACUGGGACUGAGACACGGCCCAGACUCCUACGGGAGGCAGCAGUGGGGAAUUUUGGACAAUGGGCGAAAGCCUGAUCCAGCAAUGCCGCGUGUGGGAUGAAGGCCUUCGGGUUGUAAACAGCUUUUGUACGGAAAGAAAUGAUUGGGCCUAAUACGGAGGGUGGAUGACGGUACCGGAAGAAUAAGCACCGGCUAACUACGUG